GGGGGCGUAGCUCAGUUGGUUAGAGCGCCUGCCUGUCACGCAGGAGGUCGCGAGUUCGACCCUCGUCGCUCCCGCCA
Molecule: transfer RNA, 77 nt
Filed under: Fusobacterium varium
Lineage: Bacteria; Fusobacteriati; Fusobacteriota; Fusobacteriia; Fusobacteriales; Fusobacteriaceae
Also listed under: 1 other name
Description: tRNA-Asp
Rfam family: tRNA
About the family: Transfer RNA (tRNA) molecules are approximately 80 nucleotides in length.
Source: RNAcentral